This 199-nucleotide long non-coding RNA is filed under the name Elaeis guineensis (African oil palm). RNAcentral's name for it is "long non-coding RNA (EGUI_LNC069100)". Lineage: Eukaryota; Viridiplantae; Streptophyta; Magnoliopsida; Arecales; Arecaceae. The record is from RNAcentral.
UCAUAUAGAUUAGAUGUCUUAUUUUUCAUACAAUUUUGUAUCACAUACAACAAACCCAGGAUUUCAAGAUCUAGAGUUUUGCAGAAAAAUAGAUUCUUCUUUUCGUAUUCUUUUUCAUAGAAUAUAAUCACAUGGUAUCCCUACACGUCAUAAGAGCACCCCAUCGAAUAGAAAGAGAGGAUCUUUAAAUCCUUCUUGC